Molecule: non-coding RNA, 635 nt
Organism: Schizosaccharomyces pombe (fission yeast)
Lineage: Eukaryota; Fungi; Ascomycota; Schizosaccharomycetes; Schizosaccharomycetales; Schizosaccharomycetaceae
Source: the annotation of a GenBank genome assembly
UAUUAUGCUUACAGUACGAGAUUACUCUCAAACUAACUAAUAAAAUUAAUUACUUGAUGACUUGACUUAUCUAUUCUCCUGCCAAAUUAUCAAACAACAUAAAGAGUAAAUUUUAAUUUUUUUUUCAAGAUUGGGUAGAUGCUGUUCGGUAUCGCAACGUUGAAUUAUGUAUGUUUCAUACUGCGUCUUAAUAUUAUUUAGUACAUAUGAAUGUGUUGACUUUGUUCAUCCAUAACUCUAAUUCAAAAGCAUUUUUAACAAACAAAGCGCUUUAUUGCUCCAUAGGCGCGCCUCGUUUCAUCUAAUCACUUCAUCGUUGCACACAAAUUUUUGUUUGCCUUUUUGCAAUGACAAAAUUAGGAUUUUGUUGUGCAAAACCGACCUACACUGCAUCUACAACUAGAGCAGCUGCCCCACUUUCCCACUUUAUGAACAAGGAAAAACGUCCGAUUAACCGCUUGGCUAUUUUUCUCUCAUACUAAAUCCAUCCUUAUGUUUAAUUUUAAUUUUUAAAUUUUUAAAAAAGAAUAAAAAUUUUUUUGCCUAGUUUUACCUUGCUGGGAUGAAAGCGGGCAAGCAAUGAAAUAGUGGUUGAUUGUGAUGUAAAUACUGAAAUCGCAGAUUAUGAAAUUUUU